GGAGAACUCUAGGCACCAGAUGGGGUCGCUCAACUGUCGCUCGGUGAUUCCAAAUAAAAUUCACCCCAAGUUCUGCGACGUAGGGAAUGAUUCCAAAGAGAACUCCUAAAAUCCAUCGCUCAAUGAUUCCAAAGAGAAUUCACCUUAACUUCCUCAACCCAGGGAAUGAUUUCAAAGAGAACUCCUAGAGUCUGCCGCUCGGUCAUUCCAAAGAGAAUUCACCUCAACUUCCUCGACCUAGGGAAUGGUUCCAAAAAGAACUCUUAGAGUUUGCCACUUGAUGAUUCCAAAGGGAAUUCACCUCAACCUCAUCGACCUAGGGAAUGAUUCCAAAGUGAACUCCUAGAAUCCGCC
RNAcentral lists this long non-coding RNA (354 nucleotides) under Vigna radiata. RNAcentral's name for it is "long non-coding RNA (VRAD_LNC003296)". Lineage: Eukaryota; Viridiplantae; Streptophyta; Magnoliopsida; Fabales; Fabaceae. The record is from RNAcentral.